RNAcentral lists this ribosomal RNA (775 nucleotides) under uncultured Neocallimastigales. RNAcentral's name for it is "partial large subunit ribosomal RNA". It matches the Rfam family "Eukaryotic large subunit ribosomal RNA", at positions 19 to 646 of the family's 3401-position model. Lineage: Eukaryota; Fungi; Neocallimastigomycota; Neocallimastigomycetes; Neocallimastigales. The record is from RNAcentral.
CGAGCACGCGCGUGUGGCAUAUCAAUAAGCGGAGGAAAAGAAACUAACAAGGAUUCCCUUAGUAACGGCGAGUGAAGCGGGAAGAGCUCAAAUUUGAAAUCUUCAAGGGUUUCCCUUUACGAAUUGUAGUUUAAAGAAGUGUUUUCUGUUAGAGAGUUCGGUAAAAGUUCUUUGGAAUAGGACAUCAUAGAGGGUGAGAAUCCCGUAUUUGGUCAUUCCUCCUAGCGUUGUGAUACACUUUCAACGAGUCGGAUUGUUUGGGAAUGCAGUCCAAAAUGGGUGGUAAAUUUCAUCUAAAGCUAAAUAUUGGCGAGAGACCGAUAGCGAACAAGUACCGUGAGGGAAAGAUGAAAAGAACUUUGAAAAGAGAGUUAAACAGUACGUGAAAUUGUCAAAAGGGAAGCGUUUGACACCAGUGUUGUUUUUCCGAAAAUCAAUUACGAAUGUUUUAUUUUUGAGGAGUUAUGACUUCAUCGGCUUGCUCCUUUCUUUAUGAAACUUUCUUAAUGCACUUUUCGGUUAACAAGUCAACAUCAAUUUCUUUUGUUGUAAAAGGGUAUGAGGAAGGUGGCUUUCUUUUCGGAGAAAGUGUUUAUAGCCUUGUGCCUCUGCAAUCGGAGAGAUUGAGGUCUGCAGCGUAGAUCCUUCGGGGUUAGAUACGUUUGUGCUAAGUUAUAGCUUUUCAUAGACAACUUGUUGACUAUGUUUAGUCUUGUAGCUUACUCGCUGACGCUAUUUUACCUACGCUUAGGAUGUUGAUGUGAUACUGCGAGCA